This 31-nucleotide non-coding RNA is filed under the name Rattus norvegicus (Norway rat). The record is from RNAcentral. Lineage: Eukaryota; Metazoa; Chordata; Mammalia; Rodentia; Muridae.
UGAAAUUUUUUCCUAAAAUUUGGUGAUGAAC